Molecule: transfer RNA, 76 nt
Filed under: Methanosarcina thermophila
Lineage: Archaea; Methanobacteriati; Methanobacteriota; Methanomicrobia; Methanosarcinales; Methanosarcinaceae
Description: tRNA_Trp_CCA
Rfam family: tRNA
About the family: Transfer RNA (tRNA) molecules are approximately 80 nucleotides in length. Their secondary structure includes four short double-helical elements and three loops (D, anti-codon, and T loops).
Source: RNAcentral
GGGGCUGUGGCCUAGUCUGGUAAGGCGAUGGGCUCCAGCUACCCGUCGAUCGUGAGUUCGAAUCUCACCAGCCCCA